CCCGGAUGGAAGCUUACUGUUGAGGAGUAUUAUGAUCGGCAGAGUAAGCAUAUUUUGGAUACGAUUGUUGAGACUCUGUUGAAGGAUGAAAGGAGGAAGUUUAUUUGGGAAGAGAUGUCGUAUUUGGAGAGGUGAUGGCGGGAUGCUCCGGAUGCGAAAAAGGAGGCUUUGGUUCGGUUGCUGCAGAAUGGACAGUUGGAGAUAGUUGGUGGUGGUUGGGUGAUGAAUGAUGAGGCCAAUUCACAUUAUUUUGCCAUCAUUGAACAGGUACCGUUUUAUCAUUCAUACUAA
Molecule: long non-coding RNA, 291 nt
Filed under: Helianthus annuus (common sunflower)
Lineage: Eukaryota; Viridiplantae; Streptophyta; Magnoliopsida; Asterales; Asteraceae
Description: hypothetical non coding rna
Source: RNAcentral